UACAGGCUUAACACAUGCAAGUCGAGGGGCAGCAUGGUCUUAGCUUGCUAAGGCCGAUGGCGACCGGCGCACGGGUGAGUAACACGUAUCCAACCUGCCGUCUACUCUUGGACAGCCUUCUGAAAGGAAGAUUAAUACAAGAUGGCAUCAUGAGUCCGCAUGUUCACAUGAUUAAAGGUAUUCCGGUAGACGAUGGGGAUGCGUUCCAUUAGAUAGUAGGCGGGGUAACGGCCCACCUAGUCUUCGACGGAUAGGGGUUCUGAGAGGAAGGUCCCCCACAUUGGAACUGAGACACGGUCCAAACUCCUACGGGAGGCAGCAGUGAGGAAUAUUGGUCAAUGGGCGAGAGCCUGAACCAGCCAAGUAGCGUGAAGGAUGACUGCCCUAUGGGUUGUAAACUUCUUUUAUAAAGGAAUAAAGUCGGGUAUGGAUACCCGUUUGCAUGUACUUUAUGAAUAAGGAUCGGCUAACUCCGUGCCAGCAGCCGCGGUAAUACGGAGGAUCCGAGCGUUAUCCGGAUUUAUUGGGUUUAAAGGGAGCGUAGAUGGAUGUUUAAGUCAGUUGUGAAAGUUUGCGGCUCAACCGUAAAAUUGCAGUUGAUACUGGAUAUCUUGAGUGCAGUUGAGGCAGGCGGAAUUCGUGGUGUAGCGGUGAAAUGCUUAGAUAUCACGAAGAACUCCGAUUGCGAAGGCAGCCUGCUAAGCUGCAACUGACAUUGAGGCUCGAAAGUGUGGGUAUCAAACAGGAUUAGAUACCCUGGUAGUCCACACGGUAAACGAUGAAUACUCGCUGUUUGCGAUAUACUGCAAGCGGCCAAGCGAAAGCGUUAAGUAUUCCACCUGGGGAGUACGCCGGCAACGGUGAAACUCAAAGGAAUUGACGGGGGCCCGCACAAGCGGAGGAACAUGUGGUUUAAUUCGAUGAUACGCGAGGAACCUUACCCGGGCUUAAAUUGCAGAUGAAUUACGGUGAAAGCCGUAAGCCGCAAGGCAUCUGUGAAGGUGCUGCAUGGUUGUCGUCAGCUCGUGCCGUGAGGUGUCGGCUUAAGUGCCAUAACGAGCGCAACCCUUGUUGUCAGUUACUAACAGGUUCCGCUGAGGACUCUGACAAGACUGCCAUCGUAAGAUGUGAGGAAGGUGGGGAUGACGUCAAAUCAGCACGGCCCUUACGUCCGGGGCUACACACGUGUUACAAUGGGGGGUACAGAGGGCCGCUACCACGCGAGUGGAUGCCAAUCCCCAAAACCUCUCUCAGUUCGGACUGGAGUCUGCAACCCGACUCCACGAAGCUGGAUUCGCUAGUAAUCGCGCAUCAGCCACGGCGCGGUGAAUACGUUCCCGGGCCUUGUACACACCGCCCGUCAAGCCAUGGGAGCCGGGGGUACCUGAAGUGCGUAACCGCGAGGAGCGCCCUAGGGUAAAACUGGUGACUGGGGCUAAGUA
This 1442-nucleotide ribosomal RNA is filed under the name uncultured organism. RNAcentral's name for it is "SSU rRNA". It matches the Rfam family "Bacterial small subunit ribosomal RNA". The record is from RNAcentral.